This 292-nucleotide ribosomal RNA is filed under the name uncultured prokaryote. RNAcentral describes it as "partial 16S ribosomal RNA". It matches the Rfam family "Bacterial small subunit ribosomal RNA", at positions 505 to 796 of the family's 1533-position model. The record is from RNAcentral.
GUGUCAGCAGCCGCGGUAAUACGUAGGGCGCAAGCGUUGUCCGGAAUUAUUGGGCGUAAAGAGCUUGUAGGUGGCUUGUCGCGUCUGCCGUGAAAACCCGAGGCUCAACCUCGGGCGUGCGGUGGGUACGGGCAGGCUAGAGUGUGGUAGGGGAGACUGGAACUCCUGGUGUAGCGGUGAAAUGCGCAGAUAUCAGGAAGAACACCGAUGGCGAAGGCAGGUCUCUGGGCCAUUACUGACACUGAGAAGCGAAAGCAUGGGUAGCGAACAGGAUUAGAAACCCUUGUAGUCC